This 71-nucleotide microRNA precursor is filed under the name Nicotiana sylvestris (wood tobacco). RNAcentral's name for it is "MIR6151 microRNA precursor family". It matches the Rfam family "MIR6151 microRNA precursor family". Lineage: Eukaryota; Viridiplantae; Streptophyta; Magnoliopsida; Solanales; Solanaceae. The record is from Rfam by way of RNAcentral.
GAUCGUUGGAUGAGUGUGAGGCGUUGGAUUGAUUUUACUUAAUUCGAGCCUCACAUUCAUCAGAGGCUCGU